CAUCGCAAGGUGGAAUCUGAAGGAAUCCGGAUGUGAGGAACAUACUAACUCACGGGCAAAUCUCUAGUCUGACGAACAGAAAUCUCAUACGAGGUUAUGCAUGGGGGUAAGGUUGCAAUCCAAGUCGAAGCCCAAUAACCACACGGAAUCAUGCAUGAUAAAUGAGGCAGAUGGAUGGAGAGGAAGAA
This 188-nucleotide non-coding RNA is filed under the name human gut metagenome. The record is from RNAcentral.